RNAcentral lists this long non-coding RNA (1158 nucleotides) under Setaria italica (foxtail millet). Its description in RNAcentral is "long non-coding RNA (SITA_LNC002692)". Lineage: Eukaryota; Viridiplantae; Streptophyta; Magnoliopsida; Poales; Poaceae. The record is from RNAcentral.
ACCAACACCUUCUACGACCCGACCAAGUCGCGCACCUAUGCCGCCUUCCCCUGCGGCUCCCCAGCUUGCCGGCAGCUCGGUCCCUACGCCAACGGCUGCAUCAACAACCAGUGCCAGUACAAGGUCACCUACCCCGAUGGCUCGUCGUCGUCGGGCACCUACAGCUCCGACGUCCUCACCUUCGACGCCACCCACGCCGUCAGCAACUUCCAGUUCGGGUGCAGCCACGCUGAGCAGGGCAGCUUCGACAACCGUGCGGCGGGCAUCAUGGCGCUCGGCGGCGGCCCGGAGUCGCUGCUGGCCCAGACGGCGUCCCGCUGGGGGAACGCCUUCUCCUACUGCAUCCCGCCGACGUCGAGCAACUCCGGCUUCUUCGGCCUCGGCGUGCCCGGCGGCGUCGCCUCCUCCAGGUACGUGGUGACGCCGAUGCUCAGGUACCCGAACCUGCCCACCUUCUACCGCGUGCUCCUCCGGGCCAUCACCGUCGGCGGGCAGCGGCUCAACGUGCCCGCCGCGGUGUUCUCCGCCGGCUCCGUGAUGGAUUCGCGCACGGCCAUCAGCCGCCUGCCGCCGACGGCGUACGCGGCGCUGCGGGCGGCGUUCAGGAACGCCAUGAGGAUGUACCGCCCUGCGCCGCCCAAGGGGAACCUCGACACCUGCUACGACUUCACCGGCGUCGCCAACGUCAGGCUGCCGAGGAUCGCGCUGGUGUUCGACCGGAACGCCGUCGUGGAGCUGGACCCGUCGGGGAUCCUCUUCAGCAGCUGCCUCGCUUUCGCCUCCAACCGCGACGACCACAUGCCGGGCAUCCUCGGCAGCGUGCAGCAGCAGACGUAUGAGGUGCUCUACGCCGUCGGCGGAGGCGCUGUCGGAUUCCGCCGUGCCGCGUGCUGAGCGCCACCUCGCCCUGCCAUCCAAUCCAUCUGUCUACUGGCAUUAUAUUGUUGCUUUACUCGUUUCCACACCCACUGUUAACUACUAUAUGUAAGACCUAUCUGGUCAAUGGUCAUGGAUUUCUACAAGCUAAUCUCACAGGGAGGUGAGGUAGUUUGUUGCCCAAAUAAACCGAAGAUUUGCAAGUUGUAUGUGAUCCUGCCGGCUUAUAAGCUUGUACUUCUAUCAGAAAUUUGUUAUAUUGAUCAUGUCCGGAAGGAGAAG